Long non-coding RNA from Myotis davidii, 728 nucleotides. RefSeq lists it as uncharacterized. The transcript is spliced from 2 exons. The record is from RefSeq and is a predicted model, not a curated record. Lineage: Eukaryota; Metazoa; Chordata; Mammalia; Chiroptera; Vespertilionidae.
ACAGGACAGGGGGCGGGUGAGGAUUAGGCGGAGGCGAAGUGCAGAAAGCGGGGGCCGAAGUUGAAAAGUGGGCCCAAAUGAGACUUAGAAGUAGAAGAGCCUUUGGCUUAUGAGAUAAAGUAAAAAAAAAGAAAAAAAUCUUGACCGUGGCCUCCUUGUUACAGGAAGGGCGAUGUGAGUGACAGAAGACAGACAUAAAGGAGGCAAGCUAAUACGCAGUGUGAUCACUGGCCAGAUGAAUGAGAAAAACCAGUAAAAAGUGGAGACAUUUAGAGAUUGCCAGAAUGGUGGGAAAAACAGUUUGAGAGCGGCGCUCGCCCGUUCCGGGGCCAGGAAUAGGGAAGGGGAUGUGUGUGGGCUUGAGACAUAGAGCUGCUGCAAGAAAGGAAGCCUCCAUUCAGGUAGAGAAACCUGUGGGUAGAACAGGAAGAAAUAAGCUGGAAGACGUAAAAGGGAAGACUUAGAUCCAAUGCAAGAAAGGACUUGGCAUCUGCGGGGGCUGGUGAGCCCAGAACAUCUGACUGAGACGUCUAGCUUUGCCUUCUGGGACACUUGAUCCCUUCCCCACCCUCUCCCUGUCAGGGCUGUCCUGCCUGGAAGAGAUGGGGUGCAGAGUGACGGCUAAAGAAACAAGGUGACCUUCCAUUCUCUAGAACUCUCCACCCACAGGCCAACGCUCUGACGGGCUCCUGGUAAUUAGAACAGUAAUAUUCUUCCCUUCUGUGUGA